GGGUGAGUAACGCGUGAGCAACCUGCCUAUGACAGUGGGAUAGCCUCGGGAAACCGGGAUUAAUACAGCAUAAAAUCGUAGAAACACAUGUUUUAACGGUCAAAGAUUUAUCGGUCAUAGAUGGGCUCGCGUCUGAUUAGCUAGUUGGUGAGAUAACAGCCCACCAAGGCGACGAUCAGUAGCCGGUCUGAGAGGAUGAACGGCCACAUUGGAACUGAGACACGGUUCAA
Molecule: ribosomal RNA, 230 nt
Filed under: uncultured Eubacteriales bacterium
Lineage: Bacteria; Bacillati; Bacillota; Clostridia; Eubacteriales
Description: uncultured Clostridiales bacterium partial 16S ribosomal RNA
Rfam family: Bacterial small subunit ribosomal RNA
Source: RNAcentral